UACGUAGGGGGCUAGCGUUGUCCGGAAUCAUUGGGCGUAAAGCGCGUGUAGGCGGUUCGGUAAGUCCGCUGUGAAAGUCGGGGGCUCAACCCUCGGAUGCCGGUGGAUACUGUCGGACUAGAGUACGGAAGAGGCGAGUGGAAUUCCUGGUGUAGCGGUGAAAUGCGCAGAUAUCAGGAGGAACACCGAUUACGAAGGCAGCUCGCUGGGACGUUACUGACGCUGAGACGCGAAAGCGUGGGGAGCAAACAGG
RNAcentral lists this ribosomal RNA (253 nucleotides) under uncultured bacterium. RNAcentral's name for it is "partial 16S ribosomal RNA". It matches the Rfam family "Bacterial small subunit ribosomal RNA", at positions 524 to 776 of the family's 1533-position model. The record is from RNAcentral.